ACGCUCGACACCUACUGGAGGCAGCAGUGGGGAAUAUUGCACAAUGGGGGGAACCCUGAUGCAGCGACGCCGCGUGAGUGAAGAAGUACUUCGGUAUGUAAAGCUCUAUCAGCAGGGAAGAAAAUGACGGUACCUGACUAAGAAGCCCCGGCUAACUACGUGUCAGCGGCCGCGGUAAUCUGAGCGGGCUGGCAAGGC
RNAcentral lists this ribosomal RNA (198 nucleotides) under uncultured bacterium. RNAcentral's name for it is "partial 16S ribosomal RNA". It matches the Rfam family "Bacterial small subunit ribosomal RNA", at positions 328 to 539 of the family's 1533-position model. The record is from RNAcentral.